Molecule: long non-coding RNA, 702 nt
Organism: Passer domesticus (house sparrow)
Lineage: Eukaryota; Metazoa; Chordata; Aves; Passeriformes; Passeridae
Exons: 2
Source: RefSeq, a predicted model, not a curated record
CGGCUGAAUUUAUGGCACUUUCUAGUUUUUCCCUCCAUUGAGCUGCGAUGGAACUAAAGUUAAUAUUACCAAACCCACUCUGUGAGGGGACGGGUUCCCAGCGCUGAGUCCAUGCUCACAGCCACUGAGAGAAUCUGCUGCACUGGGCCUCAGUGUCCCCUGCCACCCUCGGGGACAGGGAGGGCAGCUCCAUCCAGCCGCUCGUGAGGGGAGAUUCCAUGAUGAAGGUCUCUGGUGUCUCUGGCUCUACCACAGCAGAGGUGAAUCACCACUAGUGAGGCUACCCACAGCUUACUAGAAAGCACUGAAGGAGUGACCACGGUGUCACAGGUCAGACAAUACAUGCCCAGCCAAACCCAGGACCUGAAUAAUCCUGGGGACUGCUUCUCUUGCUGCAGGGACUGUGCCCCCCACAGCACCACAAAGCUUCCACCUGCAAGCACCAAUGUGGGAAGAGGAAUUCUGCACCCCAAGCCAAACCUUGGCACGUCAGUAAAGCACAAACAAAUGUGACACCUGUGGAACGUUCCCAGAAAAUUCCCCUGAAUCAUCUGUGAUGCAAGGGAACAGCAGCCAGCGUUGGCAACAAGCAGCUGGGUCUUUCAGGAAAGCGUCAGAUCAAUCUGGUGAGGGGAAGGAUCCCCAGUAACUGUCACUAAUCAUCCCCAAGGAUCACAGAGCUCCCAAAUCAGUUAGAAAAAG